GAUGAACGCUGGCGGCGUGCCUAAUACAUGCAAGUCGAGCGAACGGACGAGAAGCUUGCUUCUCUGAUGUUAGCGGCGGACGGGUGAGUAACACGUGGAUAACCUACCUAUAAGACUGGGAUAACUUCGGGAAACCGGAGCUAAUACCGGAUAAUAUAUUGAACCGCAUGGUUCAAUAGUGAAAGACGGUCUUGCUGUCACUUAUAGAUGGAUCCGCGCUGCAUUAGCUAGUUGGUAAGGUAACGGCUUACCAAGGCAACGAUGCAUAGCCGACCUGAGAGGGUGAUCGGCCACACUGGAACUGAGACACGGUCCAGACUCCUACGGGAGGCAGCAGUAGGGAAUCUUCCGCAAUGGGCGAAAGCCUGACGGAGCAACGCCGCGUGAGUGAUGAAGGUCUUCGGAUCGUAAAACUCUGUUAUUAGGGAAGAACAUAUGUGUAAGUAACUGUGCACAUCUUGACGGUACCUAAUCAGAAAGCCACGGCUAACUACGUG
Molecule: ribosomal RNA, 497 nt
Filed under: uncultured bacterium
Lineage: Bacteria
Description: partial 16S ribosomal RNA
Rfam family: Bacterial small subunit ribosomal RNA
Source: RNAcentral